GUGCUCGCUAUGGUGCCACAAAUACUAAAAUUGGAUCGAUACAGAGAAGAUUAGCAUGGCCCCUUCGAAAGGAUGACACACAAAUCCGUGGAGCGCUCCAUCUUUCU
Small nuclear RNA from Cyprinus carpio carpio, 107 nucleotides. Lineage: Eukaryota; Metazoa; Chordata; Actinopteri; Cypriniformes; Cyprinidae. The record is from Ensembl.